ACUAUCAUUAACUGAAUCCAUAGGUUAAUGAGGCGAACCGGGGGAACUGAAACAUCUAAGUACCCCGAGGAAAAGAAAUCAACCGAGAUUCCCCCAGUAGCGGCGAGCGAACGGGGAGGAGCCCAGAGCCUGAAUCAGUGUGUGUGUUAGUGGAAGCGUCUGGAAAGGCGCGCGAUACAGGGUGACAGCCCCGUACACAAAAAUGCACAUGCUGUGAGCUCGAUGAGUAGGGCGGGACACGUGGUAUCCUGUCUGAAUAUGGGGGGACCAUCCUCCAAGGCUAAAUACUCCUGACUGACCGAUAGUGAACCAGUACCGUGAGGGAAAGGCGAAAAGAACCCCGGCGAGGGGAGUGAAAAAGAACCUGAAACCGUGUACGUACAAGCAGUGGGAGCACAGAGCAAUCUGUGUGACUGCGUACCUUUUGUAUAAUGGGUCAGCGACUUAUAUUCUGUAGCAAGGUUAACCGAAUAGGGGAGCCGAAGGGAAACCGAGUCUUAACUGGGCGUUAAGUUGCAGGGUAUAGACCCGAAACCCGGUGAUCUAGCCAUGGGCAGGUUGAAGGUUGGGUAACACUAACUGGAGGACCGAACCGACUAAUGUUGAAAAAUUAGCGGAUGACUUGUGGCUGGGGGUGAAAGGCCAAUCAAACCGGGAGAUAGCUGGUUCUCCCCGAAAGCUAUUUAGGUAGCGCCUCGUGAAUUCAUCUCCGGGGGUAGAGCACUGUUUCGGCAAGGGGGUCAUCCCGACUUACCAACCCGAUGCAAACUGCGAAUACCGGAGAAUGUUAUCACGGGAGACACACGGCGGGUGCUAACGUCCGUCGUGAAGAGGGAAACAACCCAGACCGCCAGCUAAGGUCCCAAAGUCAUGGUUAAGUGGGAAACGAUGUGGGAAGGCCCAGACAGCCAGGAUGUUGGCUUAGAAGCAGCCAUCAUUUAAAGAAAGCGUAAUAGCUCACUGGUCGAGUCGGCCUGCGCGGAAGAUGUAACGGGGCUAAACCAUGCACCGAAGCUGCGGCAGCGACACUAUGUGUUGUUGGGUAGGGGAGCGUUCUGUAAGCCUGUGAAGGUGUGCUGUGAGGCAUGCUGGAGGUAUCAGAAGUGCGAAUGCUGACAUAAGUAACGAUAAAGCGGGUGAAAAGCCCGCUCGCCGGAAGACCAAGGGUUCCUGUCCAACGUUAAUCGGGGCAGGGUGAGUCGACCCCUAAGGCGAGGCCGAAAGGCGUAGUCGAUGGGAAACAGGUUAAUAUUCCUGUACUUGGUGUUACUGCGAAGGGGGGACGGAGAAGGCUAUGUUGGCCGGGCGACGGUUGUCCCGGUUUAAGCGUGUAGGCUGGUUUUCCAGGCAAAUCCGGAAAAUCAAGGCUGAGGCGUGAUGACGAGGCACUACGGUGCUGAAGCAACAAAUGCCCUGCUUCCAGGAAAAGCCUCUAAGCAUCAGGUAACAUCAAAUCGUACCCCAAACCGACACAGGUGGUCAGGUAGAGAAUACCAAGGCGCUUGAGAGAACUCGGGUGAAGGAACUAGGCAAAAUGGUGCCGUAACUUCGGGAGAAGGCACGCUGAUAUGUAGGUGAAGCGACUUGCUCGUGGAGCUGAAAUCAGUCGAAGAUACCAGCUGGCUGCAACUGUUUAUUAAAAACACAGCACUGUGCAAACACGAAAGUGGACGUAUACGGUGUGACGCCUGCCCGGUGC
This 1699-nucleotide ribosomal RNA is filed under the name Escherichia coli. Its description in RNAcentral is "partial 23S ribosomal RNA". It matches the Rfam family "Bacterial large subunit ribosomal RNA", at positions 147 to 1869 of the family's 2925-position model. The record is from RNAcentral. Lineage: Bacteria; Pseudomonadati; Pseudomonadota; Gammaproteobacteria; Enterobacterales; Enterobacteriaceae.